CCUACGGGGGGCUGCAGUGGGGAAUAUUGGACAAUGGGGGCAACCCUGAUCCAGCCAUGCCGCGUGUGUGAAGAAGGCCCUCGGGUUGUAAAGCACUUUCAGUGAGGAAGAACGCCUGGUGGUUAAUACCCAUCAGGAAAGACAUCACUCACAGAAGAAGCACCGGCUAACUCCGUGCCAGCAGCCGCGGUAAUACGGAGGGUGCGAGCGUUAAUCGGAAUUACUGGGCGUAAAGCGCGCGUAGGUGGCUUGAUAAGCCGGUUGUGAAAGCCCCAGGCUCAACCUGGGAACGGCAUCCGGAACUGUCAAGCUAGAGUGCAGGAGAGGAAGGUAGAAUUCCCGGUGUAGCGGUGAAAUGCGUAGAGAUCGGGAGGAAUACCAGUGGCGAAGGCGGCCUUCUGGACUGACACUGACACUGAGGUGCGAAAGCGUGGGUAGCAAACAGGAUUAGAUACCCGAGUAGUC
Molecule: ribosomal RNA, 465 nt
Filed under: Vreelandella stevensii
Lineage: Bacteria; Pseudomonadati; Pseudomonadota; Gammaproteobacteria; Oceanospirillales; Halomonadaceae
Description: partial 16S ribosomal RNA
Rfam family: Bacterial small subunit ribosomal RNA
Source: RNAcentral